This 490-nucleotide ribosomal RNA is filed under the name uncultured bacterium. RNAcentral's name for it is "partial 16S ribosomal RNA". It matches the Rfam family "Bacterial small subunit ribosomal RNA", at positions 30 to 507 of the family's 1533-position model. The record is from RNAcentral.
AUUGAACGCUGGCGGCAGGCCUAACACAUGCGAGUCGAACGGUAACAGGAAGCAGCUUGCUGCUUUGCUGACGAGUGGCGGACGGGUGAGUAAUGUCUGGGAAACUGCCCGAUGGAGGGGGAUAACUACUGGAAACGGUAGCUAAUACCGCAUAACGUCGCAAGACCAAAGAGGGGGACCUUAGGGCCUCUUGCCAUCGGAUGUGCCCAGAUGGGAUUAGCUAGUAGGUGGGGUAACGGCCCACCUAGGCGACGAUCCCUAGCUGGUCUGAGAGGAUGACCAGCCACACUGGAACUGAGACACGGUCCAGACUCCUACGGGAGGCAGCAGUGGGGAAUAUUGCACAAUGGGCGCAAGCCUGAUGCAGCCAUGCCGCGUGUAUGAAGAAGGCCUUCGGGUUGUAAAGUACUUUCAGCGGGGAGGAAGGGAGUAAAGUUAAUACCUUUGCUCAUUGACGUUACCCGCAGAAGAAGCACCGGCUAACUCCGUG